Molecule: long non-coding RNA, 908 nt
Organism: Engraulis encrasicolus (European anchovy)
Lineage: Eukaryota; Metazoa; Chordata; Actinopteri; Clupeiformes; Engraulidae
Exons: 4
Source: RefSeq, a predicted model, not a curated record
UUUCGUAGCCAACCUAGUUCAGAAACGGCUGAAUGUAGUCAGUCCGGUCGGGCGCUAUCAGGCCGAUGUGACGAGGAAUCAGAGGCCAUUGUUGAUCAGGAAUAAAACUCUCGACACUGCCCCAGUUCAAAGAGGCUGGCAAGCGAAGAUCAUCUUUGGCAGGCAAUACAUUCUUUGCGUGUAGGUCAUGGCACGUAUCUUCCACUUCGAAGAAAACCAAACAACAAAUAACGUGUUUCCUGUCUGAUUUCUGCCGUGCAUUCUACUACGAAGCAGACCACGGGGACUCGGUCGUCAAGAAUGACAACUCUACUUGCACAAAAUCGGACUUUGCCUGAUCAUCUUGAACUGAAAAGUUACCACAACAGUACCGGUUCAAAAACAUCGCAAUGGUCACGCAAGAGGAGAAAAGUUGACUGAAUAACUUACCCAUGCAUAUUUGGGACAUGCAAAGGCACAAGAAGAAAAGAGCCACAUGGAGGGAGAGAGAGAGAGGAGGAGGAAGAGAGAGAGAGAGAGAGAGAGAGAAGGGGACGUCCUUGCCUAGCCAUGUUGUUUUGGAAUACUCUCAUGUGCUGGUGCUGCUGCUGCUGGUUGCCUUGUGUGAUUUGAGGUGCCAUUAUGUGGAUGAAGCUCUUCCCCUCUGGUGACAUCAUGAUGGAUAAGGGUACUACAAACACACUGUAGUUUUCAGAGUGAAGAGUCCGCACAUUUAGAAUCCUUUUUGUUGUGUUUUAUUUUUUCAUGGCAGGAUAACGUUUCGACCUCAACAGUCUUCUUCAGAUUCCUACAAACUACAAACACACUGACCAAAUAUUUACUAAUAAUUCAGACUAUACAGUGGGUGAAUAUUUUAUUCUUUAACGUAGGCUCAUAUUCCUGGUGUCAUUUUUCGCAGGCAAUAUUUG